RNAcentral lists this ribosomal RNA (253 nucleotides) under uncultured bacterium. RNAcentral describes it as "partial 16S ribosomal RNA". It matches the Rfam family "Bacterial small subunit ribosomal RNA", at positions 524 to 776 of the family's 1533-position model. The record is from RNAcentral.
CACGUAGGAGGCAAGCGUUAUCCGGAUCUACUGGGUGUAAAGCGCCAGCAGGCGGCUUGAGAAGUCACGUGUGAAAGCGCCCGGCUCAACUGGGCGAGGACAUGUGAGACUCUUAGGCUAGAGGCAGGUAGAGGCAUGUGGAAUUCCGGGUGUAGUAGUGAAAUGCGUAGAGAUCCGGAGGAACACCAGUGGCGAAGGCGACAUGCUGGACCUGACCUGACGCUCAGAGGCGAAAGCACGGGGAGCGAACGGG